Molecule: small nuclear RNA, 75 nt
Filed under: Seriola lalandi dorsalis
Lineage: Eukaryota; Metazoa; Chordata; Actinopteri; Carangiformes; Carangidae
Source: RNAcentral
GAAUCGAUACAGAGAAGAUUAGCAUGGCCCCUGCGAAAGGAUGACACGCAAAUUCGUGAAGCGUUUCCACAUUUU